UAGGCUCUUUUUCUAUUAGUAUAGAUAGAUAUAGAUAUAGAUAUAGAUUUUUCUAUUAGUAUAGAUAUAGAUUAAUAGAAAAUUGAUAAUUAAUGAUUUAGAAGUUGAUAAAACACUAGAUUUCGUUAGGAAAAUUUCUCCUUAUAAAUAAGGCCUCACACCCUCACAAUUCUUUACACCUCAAACAACUCUCUCUCUCUCUCGGAAUUCUUCACACCACAAACACCUCUCUCUUCACCUCUUUCUGUCUCUCUCUGAGCUAUUGUGAUGGCGACGAUGUGGAUGAUUGUGUAAUUUUGGUGAUCGUCGGCGGCGCCGAGGGCGAGCAGUCGGCAUGUGACAAGGGAGGCGAGUGGUGUGAAAAAAUAAUUUUGGCAACAGCCAUCGCCGCCGUAGUUCCCGUGACCGUUUUGGGAUGAGCAGUUGAAGUAUUGCAAGUGAUGUUAAACGAUGCCACCAGAGAGCAACCCGACCCGUCUCCAAAUGGAUAUGGAAUCACUACGUUUCCAUAUCGGGUAGGGCAACCGGAUCCCUGGGUUGAUGCUACUGAAAGAAGAAGGAAGAAGCUGAAGUGCACAAGAGAAUUCAUUUGACGAAGCUUACGUGCUCCUCUGGAACUAUGGCUUUCAACUUCCUCUUGCCAUCAAAACCAGUCGCAAAAAGCACGACAUCAGCAUCCAAUUUGGUCCCAUCCUCGAACUGGACUCCUUCGUCUCAAAACCACCACUUUGAGGCAGAUCUUUUGAUGACAAUGUUGCCCUUGUCGGCCUCGGAGAAAUAGUUGUGAGACAGGAUAGCUAUCUGGCAAGACGCGUAGUCCUCCUCAAAAGGGUGCUCGGGUUUCAGCCCAUACUUCUCCAAGGGAAGCUUCCAUGUUAGGUAGGAUUCAACAGCCUUUGACUAUCCUUCUCUGUGAUAACAUAUAUAUUUGUUCAGAAAGUAGAAGAGAAAAUUGAAGAUGUUAUUUUUUUAAAUAAAAUAAAAAUAAUUAUAUGUGGAUUAUAAUAACAAUUGGUGUAAAAAAUGAGUUAUAUCAGAAUUUUUGUUAUAUAUUGACUUUCUAUCUUAGAAAAUAGCCUAUUAAAACGGAAAUUUUAGACGUGGGAGAAUUUCCUUGUACCUCACAUAAAGAUUGUGAUGAGAAAUUUUAGACGUGGCAGAUUUUUAGUUGCAACUGAAAUUGUAGCUUUGCUCAAAACAUGCCUUAAUAAAAGGUGCAUGAAUAAAUCAAAGCUCAAGUGAGAUGCUUGUAUUUUGCCCCUUUAGAGAAAGGAUGAGAUCAUCCAAAUCGUACUCUUCCGUCCAAAUUUUACAGGUCAUAGUAUUUCCUUACUUGGAUUUAAAUGUUCCGUUUUAAUAGGCCAUUUUCUAAAAUAGAAAGUCAAUACACAACAAAAAUUCUCAUAUAACUCAUUAUUACACCAAAUGUUAUUAUAAUCCACAUAUAAUUAUUAUUUUUAUUUCAUUUAAAAAAUAACAUCUUCAAUUUUCUCUUCUACUUUCUGAACAAAUAUAUAUGUUAUCACAGAGAAGGGCAGUCAAAGGCUGUUGAAUCCUACCUAACAUAGAAGCUUCCCUUGGAGAAGUAUGGGCUGAAACCCGAGCGGCGAGCACCCUUUUGAGGAGGACUACGCGUCUUGCCAGAUGACGAUCCUGCCUCACAACUAUUUCUCCGAGGCCGACAAGGGCAACAUUGUCAUCAAAAGAUCCGCCUCAAAGUGGUGGUUUUGGGACGAAGGAGUCCAGUUCGAGGAUGGGACCAAAUUGGAUGUUGAUGUCGUGCUUCUUGCGACUGGUUUUGAUGGCAAGAGAGGAAGUUGAAAGCCAUAGUUCCAGAGGAGCACGUAAGCUUCGUCAAAUAAACUUGAAUUAUUGUGUGUUUCCUUAAUUCAAUUUCAGCUUUGUUUUAUUAAUUGAACGGAAGAGGUAUUGAAAAUGUUGAUCUAAAAGUGUAGAUGGGUAUUUAAUUCAAAUUGAAUUUUACCAAUUAUCUAAUUUUCUUUAUUGGAAGUGGGCUUAUGUGGCCCAUUAAGAUUAUUUUAAUCACAGUGUAAAAUGGGCCGUCUCUUUUUUUUUAUAUACACAAUAAACUUGAGGGUGAUUCUAUUCAUAGCCCCCAUUUUAUUCCA
Molecule: long non-coding RNA, 2129 nt
Organism: Salvia miltiorrhiza (redroot sage)
Lineage: Eukaryota; Viridiplantae; Streptophyta; Magnoliopsida; Lamiales; Lamiaceae
Exons: 2
Source: RefSeq, a predicted model, not a curated record